Molecule: ribosomal RNA, 885 nt
Filed under: uncultured organism
Description: SSU rRNA
Rfam family: Bacterial small subunit ribosomal RNA
Source: RNAcentral
UAGGUGGACAGUUAAGUCAGUUGUGAAAGUUUGCGGCUCAACCGUAAAAUUGCAGUUGAUACUGGCUGUCUUGAGUACAGUAGAGGUGGGCGGAAUUCGUGGUGUAGCGGUGAAAUGCUUAGAUAUCACGAAGAACUCCGAUUGCGAAGGCAGCUCACUGGACUGCAACUGACACUGAUGCUCGAAAGUGUGGGUAUCAAACAGGAUUAGAUACCCUGGUAGUCCACACAGUAAACGAUGAAUACUCGCUGUUUGCGAUAUACAGUAAGCGGCCAAGCGAAAGCAUUAAGUAUUCCACCUGGGGAGUACGCCGGCAACGGUGAAACUCAAAGGAAUUGACGGGGGCCCGCACAAGCGGAGGAACAUGUGGUUUAAUUCGAUGAUACGCGAGGAACCUUACCCGGGCUUAAAUUGCAUUUGAAUAUAUUGGAAACAGUAUAGCCGUAAGGCAAAUGUGAAGGUGCUGCAUGGUUGUCGUCAGCUCGUGCCGUGAGGUGUCGGCUUAAGUGCCAUAACGAGCGCAACCCUUAUCUUUAGUUACUAACAGGUCAUGCUGAGGACUCUAGAGAGACUGCCGUCGUAAGAUGUGAGGAAGGUGGGGAUGACGUCAAAUCAGCACGGCCCUUACGUCCGGGGCUACACACGUGUUACAAUGGGGGGUACAGAAGGCAGCUACCUGGUGACAGGAUGCUAAUCCCAAAAGCCUCUCUCAGUUCGGAUCGAAGUCUGCAACCCGACUUCGUGAAGCUGGAUUCGCUAGUAAUCGCGCAUCAGCCAUGGCGCGGUGAAUACGUUCCCGGGCCUUGUACACACCGCCCGUCAAGCCAUGAAAGCCGGGGGUACCUGAAGUACGUAACCGCAAGGAGCGUCCUAGGGUAAAACUGG